RNAcentral lists this long non-coding RNA (737 nucleotides) under Monodelphis domestica (gray short-tailed opossum). RNAcentral describes it as "lncRNA (ENSMODG00000042755.1)". Lineage: Eukaryota; Metazoa; Chordata; Mammalia; Didelphimorphia; Didelphidae. The record is from RNAcentral.
CCCCAAGGAAGAGAUAUGAGACUGACCUUUUCCCACUUCUUUGCACAGGUGGCUGGUCAUGGGUGUGAAUUACAAUCUAUAAUUUCAUACUUGGUUGAGGGAAACUGAUUAGGAAAAGCAAAAGAGAGUCCCAGCCUCAACAAUGAUCUGUUUCUAACCACUCCUGUUCUGAACAGGACAUCGUAAAGUUUGGGAGGAAUUUGCCAAGAAAAAGGGAGAUCUGCAAAGGUUUAUGGAACAUUCAGGAGCUAGCGGGGGAAGGAAGAAUUCCAUGGAAGAUUCAAAAAAGGAGAAACUGUUGGCCAGAGGAGUUUCUGAUCAGUCUCUUACCUAAGACUCUGAAAAGAUCUGUAUUUUCUCCUUUGUCUGGAAGCUUUUGAUCUUGGCUAUAAUGUCCCUGGAAGUUGUCAUUUGGGGAUUUAUUACACCAACAUGCAAUUCCAUUGUGUCCAAAAAAUCAGCUUUUUGAGGGGGCAAAGAAUUGAAAAGUGAAGUGAUGCUCAUCAGAUGAAGAAUGGCUGAGUAUAUUCAAGUAUGAUUGUAAAGGAAUAUUAUUUCCCUGUAAGAAAUGACAAGCAAGAGGAGCUCAGAAAACCUGGAAAAGUUUACAUAAACUGAAGCACAGUGAAGUAAGCAGAACCAGAAGAACACUGUACACAGUAAUAGCAAUAUAAUAUGAUGAAUAACUGUGAGUAACUUAGCUAUUUUCAGUAAUAAAAUCAUCCAAAGCAUUCCCA